RNAcentral lists this transfer RNA (73 nucleotides) under Felis catus (domestic cat). It matches the Rfam family "tRNA". From Rfam's summary of the family: Transfer RNA (tRNA) molecules are approximately 80 nucleotides in length. RNAcentral also lists the same sequence under 5 other names. Lineage: Eukaryota; Metazoa; Chordata; Mammalia; Carnivora; Felidae. The record is from Rfam by way of RNAcentral.
GCCUGGCUGGCUCAGUUGUUAGAGCAUGAGACUCUUGAUCUCAGAAUCAUGGUUUUGAGCCCCACAUUGGGCA